Molecule: ribosomal RNA, 2982 nt
Filed under: Triticum aestivum (bread wheat)
Lineage: Eukaryota; Viridiplantae; Streptophyta; Magnoliopsida; Poales; Poaceae
Description: partial small subunit ribosomal RNA
Source: RNAcentral
AUGAAAGGAAUCUUUUGGAAUAGCAGAGGUCUGAAAGACUUGGCUAAAAGAAGGUUUCUUGCUAAGGCUUCUCUGGAGCAUCGUUUAGAUUUUAUUGCUCUAUCAGAAACUGGUAGAGAUAACUUUGCGCCCCAGUUCCUUUCCUCUCUUGCGGGUGGUGUUGAUUUUGAUUGGCAUUGCCUCCCUCCGCGAGGAAGAUCGGGUGGUAUCUUGCUGGGUGUGAGAUGCGAUUCGCUUGAAGUCCGGAGUGUAGUGAUGGGUGACUUCGCGGUUAAGUUUCGAGUCAGGUCUAAGGCUGAUGGUUUCAGCUGGGCAUUGGUGGUGGUUUAUGGUGCCGCACAGCCCGAGCUUAAACCGGAAUUUUCGGCGGAUCUUGUUCGGAUUUGUGGGUCCGAACAGCUUCCAAUCUUAGUUGCGGGUGAUUUCAACAUCAUUAGGAGGAGAGAGGAGAAGAAUAAUGAUAACUUUGAUGGCAGGUGGUCGUUCAUGUUCAAUACUAUUAUUGAAAGCUUGGAUCUGAGGGAGAUAGAGCUUUCUGGUAGAAAGUUUACCUGGGCUAACUCUUUGCCCAACCCGACUUACGAGAAGCUUGAUCGCGUUCUUGCGAGUGUGGAGUGGGAACAGAAGUUCCCGCUUGUGACGGUUCAAGCUCUUUCUCGGGGUUUUUCCGAUCACACACCCCUGUUCGUUGACUCAGGGGAGCCAAACCACGUGGGAAACAAAAACACCUUUUCUUUUGAGAUGGCCUGGUUCGAACGCGAAGGGUUCAUAGACCUGAUCGCUAGUGAAUGGGCGAAGGGUGUAGGCGGUAGGACCGCGGUUGAGCGUUGGCAAAAUAAGAUUAGGAGUUUGCGAAGCUUCUUACGAGGUUGGGCUAAGCACCUUAGUGGGGUAUAUAAGAUUGAAAAGGACAGGCUCCUCUCUCUUAUACAGAAUCUGGACGUUAAGGCCGAAUCCACGAUUUUGAUGCCUGCUGAGCUCCAGGUUAAAACUGAUGCAGAGAACAGGUUGAAAGAACUUCUCCGCGAAGAAGAAUUGAAGUGGGCUUUGCGGGCCAAGGUUCGCAAAGUGGUCCAAGGGGACGCGAAUACUCAAUUCUUUCAUCUGAUUGCUAAUGGUAAGCAGAGAAAGAAGAGAAUAUUCCAACUUGAACAAGAUGAGGGCACUAUUGUAGGACAGGAUAACCUUAAAACAUUUAUAACCGAGUAUUAUAGGCAGUUAUUUGGACCUCCGGAGGAUAAUUGUGUAUCUCUCGAUGACUCCAGAACUGAGGAUGUGCCUCAACUUUCGGCUGCUGAAAAUGAUAUUCUGGUUGCCCCGUUUUCGGAGGAGGAGGUGUUUGAUGCUAUAGCACAGUUGAAAAAUAAUAAGGCUCCCGGACCGGAUGGAUUUCCGGCGGAGUUCUACAAGAAGUGCUGGCAUAUUCUUAAGGGGGAUUUGUUACCUAUGUUUCAUGAUCUGUUCUCUGGACAGCUUCAAUUAUUUCACUUGAAUUUUGGAACUAUCACACUGCUUCCUAAGAAGACGGACGCUGUGAGAAUUGAGCAGUUCAGGCCGAUCUGCCUUCUCAAUGUUAGUUUUAAAAUAUUCACCAAGGUCGGGACUAAUAGGCUCACACAGAUUGCGCAUUCUGUGGUGCAGCACUCCCAAACUGCUUUCAUGCCGGACCGAAACAUCCUUGAAGGGGUGGUCGUCCUUCAUGAAACGCUCCAUGAAAUCCAUUCCAAGAAGUUAGAUGGUGUCAUUUUUAAGGUGGAUUUCGAGAAAGCGUAUGAUAAGGUUAAAUGGCCAUUUCUCCAACAGGCAUUGCGAAUGAAAGGUUUUGAUGAAGUCUGGCGACGCCAGGUUGAAUCAUUUACGCAAAAAGGGUGUGUGGGAAUUAAAGUGAAUGACGAUAUCGGUCAUUACUUCCAGACACAUAAAGGCCUAAGACAAGGAGAUCCGAUGUCCCCUAUCUUGUUUAACAUUGUGGUUGAUAUGUUAGCAAUCUUGAUAGGAAGGGCUAAGGAGAAUGGUCAAGUGGGUGGCUUGGUACCUCAUCUGGUUGAUGGAGGUGUAUCCAUCCUUCAGUACGCUGAUGAUACAAUCAUCUUUAUGGAGCAUGACCUAGCCAAGGCGAGAAAUGUGAAGCUGGUGUUAUGCCUGUUCGAACAAUUGACCGGGUUAAAGAUUAACUUUCAUAAGAGCGAGCUGUUCUGCUUUGGUAGAGCCAAAGACGAACAGGAGGCUUAUCGGCAAUUGUUUGGGUGCGACUUGGGGUUUUUACCUUUCUCGUAUCUAGGUAUUCCAAUCCACCAUAGAAAGCUGACCAAUAGAGAAUGGAAAUGCAUCGAAGACCGGUUUGAGAAGAAACUGAGUUGCUGGAAGGGCAAACUCAUGUCAUAUGGAGGCCGGUUAAUUCUGAUUAAUUCGGUGCUCACGAGUAUGUCUAUGUUUCUCUUAUCGUUCUUUCAAGUCCCAGUUGGUGUUAGGAAAAGACUGGACUUUUAUCGAUCGCGUUUCUUUUGGCAAGGUGAUGAUCUCAAAAGAAAAUACAGACUUGCAAAAUGGGAUAUCAUCUGUCGACCGAAAGACCAAGGGGGUCUUGGUAUUGAGAAUCUUGAAGUUAAGAACAGAUGCCUUCUUAGCAAGUGGCUGUGGAAGCUUUUUUUUGAGACUGAUGCCAUGUGGGCCCAGAUCCUUCGCGGCAAGUACCUACAGACAAAGUCCUUGUCCCAGGUCACAGUCAGGCCAACUGACUCGCCUUUCUGGAAAGGCCUGAUGAAAGUCAAACAAUCUCUGUUUAAUAGGACAAAGGUUGUUAUUGGCAACGGCGCUACUACGCGCUUCUGGGAGGAUACUUGGCUCGGCGAGACACCCUUAGCCAUUCAAUAUCCGUCUUUAUAUCGCAUAGUUCAACGACGUGAGGUGUUCGUUGCUACGGUGUUUCAAUCCAUCCCCCUUAAUAUUCAGUUCAGACGGUCGUUAAUGGGCAAUCGUUGA